AUUGAACGCUGGCGGCAGGCUUAACACAUGCAAGUCGAGCGGGGGAAGGUAGCUUGCUACCGGACCUAGCGGCGGACGGGUGAGUAAUGCUUAGGAAUCUGCCUAUUAGUGGAGGACAACAUCUCGAAAGGGAUGCUAAUACCGCAUACGUCCUACGGGAGAAAGCAGGGGAUCUUCGGACCUUGCGCUAAUAGAUGAGCCUAAGUCGGAUUAGCUAGUUGGUGGGGUAAGGCCUACCAAGGCGACGAUCUGUAGCGGGUCUGAGAGGAUGAUCCGCCACACUGGGACUGAGACACGGCCCAGACUCCUACGGGAGGCAGCAGUGGGGAAUAUUGGACAAUGGGGGGAACCCUGAUCCAGCCAUGCCGCGUGUGUGAAGAAGGCCUUAUGGUUGUAAAGCACUUUAAGCGAGGAGGAGGCUACUCUAGUUAAUACCUAGGGAUAGUGGACGUUACUCGCAGAAUAAGUACCGGCUAACUCUGUGCCAGCAGCCGCCGUAA
This 500-nucleotide ribosomal RNA is filed under the name uncultured bacterium. RNAcentral's name for it is "partial 16S ribosomal RNA". It matches the Rfam family "Bacterial small subunit ribosomal RNA", at positions 30 to 523 of the family's 1533-position model. The record is from RNAcentral.